UAUUGAGUUUUGUGAAAUAAUAUAUAUGUAAAUCUUGCAUUAGCGAAAUAUUGACUUUCUUUUUAAAUAAGAUUUAGACAUUUUGUAUUUGCAAUACACAUGAGUCGUGUGCUAGAAGAGGUUUUACAAAUAUCGGCCUCGUGGAGAUUUGGAAAUUUCUGGCCAAACAACAAACAACCAACAAAAAAAAUGCCGAAAAGAUGUGUAUGCAGAUGUGCAGAAGUAAGCUCCCUCUAAAAGUUUCCUUUGGCCUCGGAUGUAUCAAGGCUUAUUGACCAAGAAUGAUACGGGAAGUAAAUGAUCGAAAAUUUUCACAUCAAACCGGUUUCGUGGACCUAUAUUUAAUUAAUAAUUUUAACAUCGCGCCUUUAUUGUAUUUUUAAUAGCUUUAACCUUUUAAUAAGAUAGCUAAGAUGGUACGUGCUGUUAAUUCCUCUUUGUAUCUAAUUAAUUUUAAUUAGUAUGCGUGGAGUUAAAUUUAGUGUAAAAGCAGCAAAAUAUAUUAUUAUGUACUUCGGUUUUCAGCUGCUUACUAGUAAUAAGUCGUAGAUUUAAGUUUUUUUUAAGUUACAGUGUUUAAGUAUAAAAUCGGUAUUUUCAUAUACAUGCAUGUAUGCAUGUACUUAGGUUUUCAGCUACCUUCUAGUAAUUAGGCUUAUGGCCUUAUUCACAAAAAAAUAAAGUAGGUUUAAAGAGUUUUAUAAAUUGACGUUUUCAUGUAUUUUUCAAUUUAUAAACAUAUUUUAAAGAAACUUAAUUUUUUAUGAAUAAUGCCAUAAGACGUUAAACAUAAAAUUACAUAACAAACUACAAUUAGUAAGAAAAUAAACAUAAUUAUGUACUAAUAAUAGUUAACUAAACUAAUGUUACCAAGGUUAAGAAUGUAUUCAAUAAAGUGUUAAAAACAUUAAAAUA
Molecule: long non-coding RNA, 915 nt
Organism: Rhagoletis pomonella (apple maggot)
Lineage: Eukaryota; Metazoa; Arthropoda; Insecta; Diptera; Tephritidae
Exons: 3
Source: RefSeq, a predicted model, not a curated record